Molecule: long non-coding RNA, 759 nt
Filed under: Gossypium barbadense (sea-island cotton)
Lineage: Eukaryota; Viridiplantae; Streptophyta; Magnoliopsida; Malvales; Malvaceae
Description: long non-coding RNA (GBAR_LNC005927)
Source: RNAcentral
AUCCACCUUACCCCCCCUUUCUUCUCAUUUGACAAACCCUAGAUCCCCUCUCAUCCAUCGAUUCCCAUCCCUUAAACAACCACCUGCACAUUCAAGCCUAGAGGACGAGAUUUUUAGCCUUAAGGUCUCCCCCUGACUUCGAUUUCAACAAAGUAGAAGGUGACCCAUGGCGCAUUUACAAGGUAAGCCCCUUUUCAUCUUUUCUUUUUCUUAUUUUUCUUUCGCAUAUAAGAAUCACAAAUCCAGAAAAAUGAAACUAAAGGAAGUAAAGCAUUUAGAGAUUUUUGAAUCGGAAAACACCUUGUGUAUUUUAUUAUUCGCAGUGUGCGCGUAAAAAAAAUACAGGUGAUUCUCUUUAGGCUUUAUAGCCGAGAGAAGAAAUAAAAAAAUACAAUUUUCUGCUAUUUUCUCGCGUUUGUUGUCUUCUUGCGUUUGGUGUGCAGGUACGGUGAGCGUGUGCUGGCACUUGGUGUGAGGCGUACGGAGGCGCACGUGGCGGCACGGAGGGUACAGAGCCAGGCUUCGGGCGCACGGAGGCCGUACAUGGGGGUGUUGGCUGCGGCGCACCUAAGAAACCUAGGGUUUCUAAAACUAUUUUGAUUUUGGGCCACUUGGGCCUUGAAUUUUUGGACUGUAAUUGGACUUUUAUUCUUAGGUUUAUUUAUUCUUUGAUGUGGACCCGGGCAAAUUGGCCUGCUUAUAACUCGAAUUUGAGAUUUUAAAUUUUUUAAAAUCUCAAUCUUGUCAUUGAAUAAAGUC